AGCAUUGAAGAUGAAAAAUGAAAGUACCUUUGAUUGGGUCCCUCCUGAAACCAAUCAGACUGAUCACAGGCCAAGUCUUUAUGUGUAACUUUGUAAUUUUACUUCAGCCUCUCUGAUUGGUCACCUUCAGCAACCAAUCAGACUGGUCACAGGCCAUUACUUCAUUUACAUAAGGUGCAAACCAAGUAACCAAUGGGAAACCCCUAGAGGGUAUUUAAACUCCAGAAAAGUCUGUAACCAGCCUCUUGAGCUGCUUUCUCUCACUCCCACUUUGUGGAGUGUACUUUAGUUUCAAUAAAUCUGUGCUUUUUUUUUUUUUUUCAUUGCUUUGUUUGUGCGUUUAUCCAAUUAUUUGUUCAAAAUGCCAGGAAUCUGGACACCCUCCACCAGUAAUAGGUAACAGUUUUGGUUCUGUGUAUCUUCAGAUCUGUUACUAGCCAGGCACUCUUUCUUGAUAAUUUGCAAAGAAAAUACUCUGAAGAGUCUGAAGUAAAAGUUCACUUGUUGAACCCAAUGUUUUCCCCCAGGCAUUGGGAAGGGGAAGGCAGAAAAGCAGACUGCAAGAUCAAGUGGUAGUGGAUGCUAACAGAAAACCUUUGGACAGGAUGGGACAGAAACAAAGUCAUGCAUCUUCUAUCUAUCUGUCACCUGUGGACAACUUGCCACUUCAACAGUUCUGGAUGCUUUUAAAUCCCCUAAGGAGAAGCUAAACACUGUGCUGGUUAUCCCCAUCCAUAACUCCUCCCAGAGGGCCCCAUAUCCUAUCUUCCAGAAGAGCUAAUAGUCCAUGGAAAUCCAAGCCAGAAGCAAAAGGAGGCAAGAAUGUUCUGACAGCACCUCCCACAAUGUGACGGGUAGAGUCAAAGAAGAAAAUAACAAAAAACGCUGCUAUAAAAAAUUACCAAUUCAAACUAUGGGAGAAUGAGAAAUAGAAAAAUUAUCUCUUAGCCAGAGAAAAGAUUUUGAACCCUGAAAAUUGUAAUUUCUAUGAAUGUCAAUGCUCUUAUGUUUUGCUUUGCAAAAAUAUUUGGAAGAAAAUGGCACAACUUUCAAAAAAAGGAAAACAUUCAAAAUAUUUAAAUUAUAUUAUAAGAUAUAUAUUAUAUAUGCAACAUGAUCACCAAGUCUGGAAACACAGAAAAGCUUUAUAAUGGUGAUUUAUGCCUAUCACUCUGAGUUAUGAUGAUAUUACAUAUGUUCAACGUGUUGUUCCUCAUUAGCAAUGUGUCAUGCAUAAUGGAGAUCAACAUGGGACGUUAAUGCAACAUUUCCAUCAAUGCUUGCACAUGCUUCUGUGAUGUCUUGCCUCCCGUGAUUUUUGUCUCUGAUUUUUACAAUAUUAACCUACUUUAGCAUCUUCUGGAAGAAGCCAUCAAGUGGGUUGAUCUGUAAAACUAAGUGUUAUCUUUAUUUCCCAACUUUACGGCCAUCCUGUAUUAGUGUAUGUUAUGUAUAUUCGGAACUGCUCCAUAAUUAAAACAGUCAUUCCUUAUCAAUAAUUUACUUGCUGUCAUGGAUACAUAUUUUUUAGUUAAUGAUCCCUUUGCCAAUUAGCCUAGGUUUUAGGCAGGGACUAUGUCAUACCCAUUUUGAAUUCCAAUACUUAGCACAGCUUUCUAUACAUAGUACUUGCUUAAUAAAUAAUUCCUGAAUAAAAGUAAAUUCUAAAUAUUUCCUUAUUUUUUAGCUUUGAAGUACAUCUUGGAUAUUUGACAUUUAAGCAAAUACCAUUUAGAUCCUUGUUUCCUCUGAUGGUUUUAUCAUAAUAAUUGCUCUGAGAGAUUUUUCCAAUGAAGUCUUAGAGUUGCCACAUCUCUGCUUACACUUUUCGCCAAUGAAAGAUAGCUUUCUCCAUAUUCCAUUAAAAAGAGUCUUCUUUUUAAAUGUUCACUUCUCUUUUAAGAUAUCUGGACCUAAUGGGCUUCAUAUUAUUUUCACUUUAAUGACAAAAGGCAAACUACUAAGUGAGGAAAUAAACUGUUUAAAAUUUAUACAGAUUGUGAACGAGUGUAUGAAAAAAUAUUUUUUCAGUGCAAUACAAAUGACACACAUUUACUUAAUGUAAUCCAAAGUGACAUAAUAAAAGACAGAGAGUUUCACAGAGCAGGAAAAAGGGGAGUAAAUCUGGGUCGGAUGAAGCAUGAGAAACUAACUGUUCAAGCGUAUGCCACUUCACUGAUUCUUGACAGAAAAAUUUUAGCCGUAGAAAUGGGAGGUAUAAAGCACAUCAGGCCAAAUGAAACACAACGAGAGCACGUAAUGGGUGAAACAAGCAGCAUCUGGCACAGAGAAUUCAAAACACGCAACGAUCACUUCUAAAACUGAAUUAUCUUCUGGAAUUUUGUGUAAAAAAAUAGAUUCUACUUUGAGAUUUUUGACAAAGAUAGGUAGAUAAAAUCAAAGAAAAAAAACCCCUGAAAACCCUAUUCCACAUUAUUCAUUUCCAAUGUUCUUUUCUUUGCAUCAUGAGUCAACAUUUACCAUUAAGGAUAAACUCAGUUUCAGGCUCAACCUUUUUUAUUUUAUCGAGUUUAAUUUGUGUCUCCAUUCAGUCUUAUUACUGUUGUAAAAGACUGAAAGACCUCUUUUAAAUAACUACCAUAAUAGCUUGCAUGAAAGCAUGGCACCUGCCAUUUUCAAAUGCCUAUAACAUAUAUAUCUGCCUUUGUACCUGGGAAAAUAUCCCUUAUUCUCAGUCUAGUAAGAUAAUGGAAGAUACCUGAGCUAAAGAUAAAGAUCAGAGACAUAUUAAUAUUAUUGUCAGAGCAGAGUCAGCCAGCCGUGGUUUAAACACCAUCUUUUACUGUUAAUCGAAUAAUCUAGCCUCAGUUUCCUCAUCUAUAAAGUGUGGAUAAUGAUAUUAUGCCAUAGGAUUGUUAUAAUGAUCUCCAUAAGUACCAUAUCCCUAUUAGUAUCAUUAAAAAGUCUCAGAUGGGUUUGAAUAUUCCCAACAUUGUGGCAGAAAAAUGCCAUGUGAAAUUUGAUAUGAUUUUAAUGUCCAAAUAAGGAAAAUGCCAAUGUGUAUACAUUGGAUAAAUUACAAGAAAUUUUAUUUGCCAAGUAGGGGAAAGAUUAUGGCAAAAAUUCUAAAUAAAUUAACAGAAUGUAAAAGACAAGCCACAGAUUGGAAGAAAAUAUUUGCAAAACACAUAGCUGAUAAAGGACUGGUACCAAAAAUAUACAUAGAACUCUUAAAACU
Sapajus apella (tufted capuchin) is the source of this 3199-nucleotide long non-coding RNA. RefSeq lists it as uncharacterized. The transcript is spliced from 4 exons. NCBI's taxonomy places the organism in Eukaryota, Metazoa, Chordata, Mammalia, Primates, Cebidae. The record is from RefSeq and is a predicted model, not a curated record.